UAUUGAUUUGAAUAUGAUGACCUCUAUAUUGUCAGUUUCUGAAUUUUUGCAACACAGGUCAUGCAUUUUGCCUGUAGUCAAGGAUGGUGAAGGUCCAAUCAUGUGCAUAUCAUUGGUUUCCUCUUGUUAUGAUGAAGAGAUCUGGAUUCAAUACUUGAUUUUUCAUUUGUUUUUAAAUAUUUGGUUUCCAAUCAUGUGCAGAUCUGAAUUUGGGCAUUGGUUGCUUUGACUGUUUCUUGGAAUGCAGAUAAACUACGCCUAUGCUCGUGACAAUGAAACACUAUUUGAUAUUAUUAGUGUGAAGGUAUGGAGCUUAUCAGGAUAUCCAGGAAAUUUUCUGCAAUUUAUGUAUUUUGGUAUCAAUUAUCAAUCUGCCAAUCAAUCAUUUUCUUUUGAUUUCUUCGAUAAACAUUUAUUGGCAAGACAGAUGAACCUCUCAAUUGACAAGCGAUGUAGGAUAAAUAAUUUGUCCACAAGCAUGAUUGCAUUAUCCCAGGUGCUUAUGAAAGUUUUUACCUUUUCUUCAAUAUGAAGUCUGAAUGUGUGGUGUGGCCUGUCUGAUCUAUCUAGCAGGUUUAGUGGUACUCGUAUCAGCUAAACCUUAAACUUGUUUUCUUCUUAAUGUAAUAUAAUUAUACAUGGUUCUACUACUUGUUUGAAAAAAAACUUAAACUUAUUUCUACAUAUGGAAUCACUAAAUGGUCGUGUUUUCUAAUACCAAUUGCAGAUCCCUUCGUUUUGAUAAGUAAACAUGAGACCCCUUUUGCUAGGAUGUUUGUAUAUCUUCUGUUUUAAACUAUAUUAUGUAAACAGUGCAAGCGAUGAGUGAAGGGUGACUAAUAGGCUUCUUUAAUCAGCACUGCAGUAUCUUUUGUUGAAUUAACCUAUACUCACUUCAUUUUAUUUAUAUAAUACAGUCCAUUUAGCAAAUUUUGUUUGAUGUGUAGUGACACGACCUUGACAGUCAAGAUGCUCUUUCAGGAGAUGGUCCCAGUUACCUUACAUGGUUCUGUUGGACACAAUGAAGCCAUCCAGAUAUGCUAUUAAAAAUCCUGCUAGUCAUUAUGGCUUUAAACUGUACCAUGUCUGUUCUAUUUUCAGCUAGGCAGAGCAUGUUCUAUUUACAGCAGGCCAGCAGACACCAGGCAGUAAGGUGAUGUAUGAGUCAAUUAUCAGGAUGGAAAUGUUUUUUGGCAGCUUUCUCAGUGAAUCAGUAUCACCGCAGAACCUUUUUGGACACCCAAAUGUCGAGAGAUGCCCAUUCCUGAAUCAGUAUCACCGCAUUGAUGUCAGGACUGAACCUGCUCUACCGUUUAAUCCAUUGGCUGCUAGAGCAGCCACAAUAAGUCUAUCAGCAUUUGGACCAUUUGGUUUUGGCUUCUUCAAUGGCAAGGG
RNA transcript from Zea mays, 1395 nucleotides. RefSeq lists it as uncharacterized. The record is from RefSeq and is a predicted model, not a curated record. NCBI's taxonomy places the organism in Eukaryota, Viridiplantae, Streptophyta, Magnoliopsida, Poales, Poaceae. The transcript is spliced from 3 exons.